GAUGAACGCUGGCGGCGUGCCUAAUACAUGCAAGUCGAGCGAACAGACGAGGAGCUUGCUCCUCUGACGUUAGCGGCGGACGGGUGAGUAACACGUGGAUAACCUACCUAUAAGACUGGGAUAACUCCGGGAAACCGGAGCUAAUACCGGAUAAUAUAUUGAACCGCAUGGUUCAAUAGUGAAAGACGGUUUUGCUGUCACUUAUAGAUGGAUCCGCGCCGCAUUAGCUAGUUGGUAAGGUAACGGCUUACCAAGGCAACGAUGCGUAGCCGACCUGAGAGGGUGAUCGGCCACACUGGAACUGAGACACGGUCCAGACUCCUACGGGGGGCAGCAGUAGGGAAUCUUCCGCAAUGGGCGAAAGCCUGACGGAGCAACGCCGCGUGAGUGAUGAAGGUCUUCGGAUCGUAAAACUCUGUUAUUAGGGAAGAACAAAUGUGUAAGUAACUAUGCACGUCUUGACGGUACCUAAUCAGAAAGCCACGGCUAACUACGUG
RNAcentral lists this ribosomal RNA (497 nucleotides) under uncultured bacterium. RNAcentral's name for it is "partial 16S ribosomal RNA". It matches the Rfam family "Bacterial small subunit ribosomal RNA", at positions 28 to 507 of the family's 1533-position model. The record is from RNAcentral.